Molecule: ribosomal RNA, 253 nt
Filed under: uncultured bacterium
Lineage: Bacteria
Description: partial 16S ribosomal RNA
Rfam family: Bacterial small subunit ribosomal RNA
Source: RNAcentral
UACAGGGGGGGCAAGCGUUAUUCGGAAUUACUGGGCGUAAAGGGUUCGUAGGUGGCCAACUAAGUCAUACGUGAAAUCCCUCAGCUUAACUGGGGAACUGCGUCUGAUACUGGUUGGCUUGAGUGCAGGAGAGGAACGCGGAAUUCCAGGUGUAGCGGUGAAAUGCGUAGAUAUCUGGAGGAACACCGGUGGCGAAGGCGGCGUUCUGGACUGCAACUGACGCUGAGGAACGAAAGCCAGGGGAGCAAACGGG